AAACUCUGGAAAGUAGCGGUUGCCGAAGAUUGGGGCGACCUCUCACCGACGGAGUAAGCCGACCAAUUAGCGGUGAAUCUCUCAGGUUCUCAGACAGAGGGGG
Molecule: non-coding RNA, 103 nt
Filed under: marine eukaryotic metagenome
Description: Glycine riboswitch
Rfam family: Glycine riboswitch aptamer
About the family: This family represents the bacterial glycine riboswitch. Glycine riboswitches usually consist of two metabolite-binding aptamers domains with similar structures in tandem.
Source: RNAcentral